RNAcentral lists this ribosomal RNA (368 nucleotides) under uncultured eukaryote. Its description in RNAcentral is "partial 18S ribosomal RNA". It matches the Rfam family "Eukaryotic small subunit ribosomal RNA", at positions 1469 to 1796 of the family's 1831-position model. The record is from RNAcentral.
ACCCUUAGAUGUUUUGGGCUACACGCGCGUUACACUGACAUAUUCAACAAGUUUUUUAAUAAAGGAAAAUAAAUAAAAUAAUAUUUAUUUUAUCUUAAACCUUGCCUGAUUAGGCUGGGUAAUCUUUUAAAUAUAUGUCGUGAUUGGGAUAGAUCAUUGUAAUUAUUGGUCUUGAACGAGGAAUCCCUAGUAAAUGCAAGUCAUCAACUUGCGUUGAUUACGUCCCUGCCCUUUGUACACACCGCCCGUCGCUCCUACCGAUGAAUGAUCCGGUGAGAACUCAGGAUAAUUGUAGUUUAAAUUGUAUAAUGCUAUAGUAUUAAAAUUUGUUCAAACCUUAUUAUUUAAAGGAAGGAGAAGUCGUAACA